Molecule: ribosomal RNA, 492 nt
Filed under: uncultured bacterium
Lineage: Bacteria
Description: partial 16S ribosomal RNA
Rfam family: Bacterial small subunit ribosomal RNA
Source: RNAcentral
AGUGAACGCUGGCGGUAGGCCUAACACAUGCAAGUCGAACGGCAGCACAGUAAGAGCUUGCUCUUACGGGUGGCGAGUGGCGGACGGGUGAGGAAUACAUCGGAAUCUACUUUUUCGUGGGGGAUAACGUAGGGAAACUUACGCUAAUACCGCAUACGACCUACGGGUGAAAGCAGGGGAUCUUCGGACCUUGCGCGAUUGAAUGAGCCGAUGACGGAUUAGAUAGUUGGCGGGGUAAAGGCCCACCAAGGCGACGAUGCGUAGCUGACCGGAGAGGAUGAGCGGACAGAGUGGAACUGAGACACGGUAGAGAGUAGGACGGGAGGCAGCAGUAGGGAAUCGUCGGCAAUGGGCGGAAGACUGAUGGAGCAACGCCGCGUGAGUGAUGAAGGUCUUCGGAUAGUAAAACUCGGUUAUUAGGGAAGAACAUAUGGGUAAGUAACUGUGGACAUCUUGACGGUACCUAAUCAGAAAGCAACGGCUAACUACGUG